Molecule: long non-coding RNA, 719 nt
Organism: Pristis pectinata (smalltooth sawfish)
Lineage: Eukaryota; Metazoa; Chordata; Chondrichthyes; Rhinopristiformes; Pristidae
Exons: 3
Source: RefSeq, a predicted model, not a curated record
UCUCUCUCCACCUAUCCUGUCUUAAUAUUGACGGGACUGCUGACCUCCCCAGCUCCCAUCAGACUGUUAAUCAUUGACUGAAGGAAGAGGAUUUAAUGGGUGGGAGCUGGAGCAGCUGCGCAGACACACAGCCAUGGGUAGCUCAGUCCUCCUGCUCGUGCUGCAGCUCCUGCUGGCCACUGUGUCUCCUCUCAAAAACCCAAGGACUGUGACUGUUCAGCCAGGGAGAGGGGCCCUGCACACCAGAGGUCUGGCCACAGGGAACGUGCUUCUCCUGGACUCCUGAUAUCACAUAUCACGGACACCAGCCUCUCCUCCUUGGUGUCUUGCUGUAGCAGCCAGCAUAAUCAAAAACCCCACCCACCUGGGACAUUCUCUCUUCUCUUCCAUCAGGCAGAAGACACAGGAGCCUGAGGGCACGUACCACCAGACUUAAGGACAUCUUCUACCCCACUGUGAUAAGACUAUUGAACAGUUCCUUUAUACGAUGAGAUGGACUAUGACCUCACGAUCUACCUUGUUGUGACCUUGCACCUUAUUGCACUGCACUUUCUCUGUAGCUGUGACACUACUCUGUACUGUUAUUGUUUUACCUGUACUACGUCAAUCCACUCUAUACUAACUCAAUGUAACUGCACUGUGUAAUGAAUUGACCUGUACAAUCAGUUUGUAAGACAAGCUUUUCACUGUACCUCGGUACAACUGAAAAUAAUAAACCA